Molecule: ribosomal RNA, 429 nt
Filed under: Actinomycetes bacterium
Lineage: Bacteria; Bacillati; Actinomycetota; Actinomycetes
Description: Actinobacteria bacterium partial 16S ribosomal RNA
Rfam family: Bacterial small subunit ribosomal RNA
Source: RNAcentral
UAGGGAAUCUUCCGCAAUGGGCGAAAGCCUGACGGAGCAACGCCGCGUGAGUGAUGAAGGUCUUCGGAUCGUAAAACUCUGUUAUUAGGGAAGAACAAAUGUGUAAGUAACUAUGCACGUCUUGACGGUACCUAAUCAGAAAGCCACGGCUAACUACGUGCCAGCAGCCGCGGUAAUACGUAGGUGGCAAGCGUUAUCCGGAAUUAUUGGGCGUAAAGCGCGCGUAGGCGGUUUUUUAAGUCUGAUGUGAAAGCCCACGGCUCAACCGUGGAGGGUCAUUGGAAACUGGAAGACUUGAGUGCAGAAGAGGAAAGUGGAAUUCCAUGUGUAGCGGUGAAAUGCGCAGAGAUAUGGAGGAACACCAGUGGCGAAGGCGGCUUUCUGGUCUGUAACUGACGCUGAUGUGCGAAAGCGUGGGGAUCAAACAGG